AGGUGCGAUCAUACCAGCACUAAUGCACCGGAUCCCAUCAGAACUCCGAAGUUAAGCGUGCUUGGGCGAGAGUAGUACUAGGAUGGGUGACCCCCUGGGAAGUCCUCGUGUUGCACCCC
This 119-nucleotide ribosomal RNA is filed under the name Daucus carota subsp. sativus. The record is from RNAcentral. Lineage: Eukaryota; Viridiplantae; Streptophyta; Magnoliopsida; Apiales; Apiaceae.